AGCAGCCGCGGUAAUUCCAGCUCCAAUAGCGUAUAUUAAAGUUGUUGCAGUUAAAAAGCUCGUAGUUGAAUUUCGGGAUCAAUAUAUCGGUCGUGCCAUUGGUACGUACUGGUAUCAUUGGUUUCUCCUUUCUGACGAACCAUGAUGUCAUUAAUUUGGUGUUAUGGGAAGUUAGGACUGUUACUUUGAAAAAUUAGAGUGUUUAAAGCAGGCUUUAGCUUGAAUACAUUAGCAUGGAAUAAUGAAAUAGGACGUUCGAACCUAUUUUGUUGGUUUCUAGGAUCAACGUAAUGAUUAAUAGGGAUAGUUGGGGGCAUUAGUAUUCAAUUGUCAGAGGUGAAAUUCUUGGAUUUAUUGAAGACUAACUACUGCGAAAGCAUUUGCCAAGGAUGUUUUCAUUAAUCAAGAACGAAAGUUAGGGGAUCGAAGACGAUCAGAUACCGUCGUAGUCUUAACCAUAAACUAUAGCCGACUAGGGAUCGGAUGAUGUUAAUUUUUAAUGUACUCAUUCGCGCCUUAA
Molecule: ribosomal RNA, 520 nt
Filed under: uncultured Glomus
Lineage: Eukaryota; Fungi; Glomeromycota; Glomeromycetes; Glomerales; Glomeraceae
Description: SSU rRNA
Rfam family: Eukaryotic small subunit ribosomal RNA
Source: RNAcentral